GUUGAAACACUGGUUCUUGUAUGAUCCCCAAAGUUAAGCAACAUCAAGCUUGGUCAGUACCUAGAUGGAUGACUGCUUGGAAAUACCAGGUGGUGCAA
Acanthosepion pharaonis is the source of this 98-nucleotide non-coding RNA. NCBI's taxonomy places the organism in Eukaryota, Metazoa, Mollusca, Cephalopoda, Sepiida, Sepiidae. The record is from the annotation of a GenBank genome assembly.